This is a non-coding RNA of Mauremys mutica (yellowpond turtle), 478 nucleotides long. The record is from the annotation of a RefSeq genome assembly. NCBI's taxonomy places the organism in Eukaryota, Metazoa, Chordata, Testudines, Geoemydidae.
GCAGUUUAACGAUUAGUGCCAAAGAAACUGAUCUAGAAGGACCAUGAUUUUACAAAUGCAUUUGCUCAGGUUGCUGUUCUCUGUGUUUGGAGAAUCCAGCGGGCAGAUUGUUAUCACUCAGACACCUGCUUCUGUGACGGUGCUUCCAGGAGAGACGGUCACCAUUCAGUGCAAGGCAUCCAGCUCCAUUAGCAAUGAAAUGGACCUAUAUCAAUUCAGACCAGGAGAGGUUCCCAGGCUCCUCAUUUAUCAUGCCACCAACCGUUUCACCGGGGUCCCCGAUAGAUUCAGUGGUCGAUACAGCGGCACUGACUUCACAUUCACCAUUAGCGGGGUGCAGGCUGAUGAUGGAGGUGACUACUACUGUCAGCAGGACUAUACAACCCCGCUCACAGUGAUACAACUCAAUGCAAAAACCUCAUUAGUGCUCCAGCCUUCUUGGCAUGAAGCAGAAGGAAACAGCUGCAGUUGUAGCUAA